Molecule: ribosomal RNA, 1513 nt
Filed under: Klebsiella sp. ok1_1_9_S44
Lineage: Bacteria; Pseudomonadati; Pseudomonadota; Gammaproteobacteria; Enterobacterales; Enterobacteriaceae
Description: bacterial SSU rRNA
Rfam family: Bacterial small subunit ribosomal RNA
Source: RNAcentral
GAUUGAACGCUGGCGGCAGGCCUAACACAUGCAAGUCGAGCGGUAGCACAGAGAGCUUGCUCUCGGGUGACGAGCGGCGGACGGGUGAGUAAUGUCUGGGAAACUGCCUGAUGGAGGGGGAUAACUACUGGAAACGGUAGCUAAUACCGCAUAAUGUCGCAAGACCAAAGUGGGGGACCUUCGGGCCUCAUGCCAUCAGAUGUGCCCAGAUGGGAUUAGCUAGUAGGUGGGGUAACGGCUCACCUAGGCGACGAUCCCUAGCUGGUCUGAGAGGAUGACCAGCCACACUGGAACUGAGACACGGUCCAGACUCCUACGGGAGGCAGCAGUGGGGAAUAUUGCACAAUGGGCGCAAGCCUGAUGCAGCCAUGCCGCGUGUGUGAAGAAGGCCUUCGGGUUGUAAAGCACUUUCAGCGGGGAGGAAGGCGGUAAGGUUAAUAACCUCAUCGAUUGACGUUACCCGCAGAAGAAGCACCGGCUAACUCCGUGCCAGCAGCCGCGGUAAUACGGAGGGUGCAAGCGUUAAUCGGAAUUACUGGGCGUAAAGCGCACGCAGGCGGUCUGUCAAGUCGGAUGUGAAAUCCCCGGGCUCAACCUGGGAACUGCAUUCGAAACUGGCAGGCUAGAGUCUUGUAGAGGGGGGUAGAAUUCCAGGUGUAGCGGUGAAAUGCGUAGAGAUCUGGAGGAAUACCGGUGGCGAAGGCGGCCCCCUGGACAAAGACUGACGCUCAGGUGCGAAAGCGUGGGGAGCAAACAGGAUUAGAUACCCUGGUAGUCCACGCCGUAAACGAUGUCGAUUUGGAGGUUGUGCCCUUGAGGCGUGGCUUCCGGAGCUAACGCGUUAAAUCGACCGCCUGGGGAGUACGGCCGCAAGGUUAAAACUCAAAUGAAUUGACGGGGGCCCGCACAAGCGGUGGAGCAUGUGGUUUAAUUCGAUGCAACGCGAAGAACCUUACCUGGUCUUGACAUCCACAGAACUUUCCAGAGAUGGAUUGGUGCCUUCGGGAACUGUGAGACAGGUGCUGCAUGGCUGUCGUCAGCUCGUGUUGUGAAAUGUUGGGUUAAGUCCCGCAACGAGCGCAACCCUUAUCCUUUGUUGCCAGCGGUCCGGCCGGGAACUCAAAGGAGACUGCCAGUGAUAAACUGGAGGAAGGUGGGGAUGACGUCAAGUCAUCAUGGCCCUUACGACCAGGGCUACACACGUGCUACAAUGGCAUAUACAAAGAGAAGCGACCUCGCGAGAGCAAGCGGACCUCAUAAAGUAUGUCGUAGUCCGGAUUGGAGUCUGCAACUCGACUCCAUGAAGUCGGAAUCGCUAGUAAUCGUAGAUCAGAAUGCUACGGUGAAUACGUUCCCGGGCCUUGUACACACCGCCCGUCACACCAUGGGAGUGGGUUGCAAAAGAAGUAGGUAGCUUAACCUUCGGGAGGGCGCUUACCACUUUGUGAUUCAUGACUGGGGUGAAGUCGUAACAAGGUAACCGUAGGGGAACCUGCGGCUGGAUCACCUCCUU